GACGAACGCUGGCGGCGUGCCUAAUACAUGCAAGUUGAGCGCUGAAGGUUGGUACUUGUACCAACUGGAUGAGCAGCGAACGGGUGAGUAACGCGUGGGGAAUCUGCCUUUGAGCGGGGGACAACAUUUGGAAACGAAUGCUAAUACCGCAUAAAAACUUUAAACACAAGUUUUAAGUUUGAAAGAUGCAAUUGCAUCACUCAAAGAUGAUCCCGCGUUGUAUUAGCUAGUUGGUGAGGUGAAGGCUCACCAAGGCGAUGAUACAUAGCCGACCUGAGAGGGGGAUCGGCCACAUUGGGACUGAGACACGGCCCAAACUCCUACGGGAGGCAGCAGUAGGGAAUCUUCGGCAAUGGACGAAAGUCUGACCGAGCAACGCCGCGUGAGUGAAGAAGGUUUUCGGAUCGUAAAACCCUGUUGGUAGAGAAGAACGUUGGUGAGAGUGGAAAGCUCAUCAAGUGACGGUAACUACCCAGAAAGGGACGGCUAACUACGUG
RNAcentral lists this ribosomal RNA (497 nucleotides) under uncultured bacterium. RNAcentral describes it as "partial 16S ribosomal RNA". It matches the Rfam family "Bacterial small subunit ribosomal RNA", at positions 28 to 507 of the family's 1533-position model. The record is from RNAcentral.